Long non-coding RNA from Octopus sinensis (East Asian common octopus), 9255 nucleotides. RefSeq lists it as uncharacterized. Lineage: Eukaryota; Metazoa; Mollusca; Cephalopoda; Octopoda; Octopodidae. The record is from RefSeq and is a predicted model, not a curated record. The transcript has 2 exons.
UCCCUGUAACUUAACAGUUUAGCAAAAGAGACUGAUUGAUAAGUACCAAACUUUAAAAAAAAAAAAGAUAUAAAUUACUUGUCCAUUUGUUGGCAUUUUCAAUGCUUGUAUAUGAUAUCCUCAUUAUCACAUAUUUAAAGAUAUUGAAAUUUAGGGUUGUGCUUUGUGUUUCAUGGUCUAAGUAUCAGUGUGGGGUGACACAUGCAUGGAGAAAUUGGGUUAAAUAUUAUGAAUUAUGAUAUUCAUAUAAUUUAUUGGCACCCGUUCAUUUCAAGCCAAUUGUUAAAUCUACCCACAGCUCUAAAUUUCUCUCAGGACUAAUGAAAUAUUUAUGAGGUAGUAUUUCAGUAUCCUUAUUAGGGUUGUUUUUGAUAUUUAAUGUUCUAUCUGUAUUUCUAUUGUCUACUACAGCACACUGAUUUUCUUUAGACUACUUUGAUACAUGCAUUUGUGCGUGAGAGAGAGAAAUUCAUAGUCAUCAAGUUAGAUAACCCUUUGCUAUGUUGUUCUUAUAUAUUUUAACCUUCUUUGAUCCUUUGCUAAUAACCUCAAUGUAAUUUUUCAUCCUUUUCUGAAUAAUCUUCAAUAUUUGUUUCAUAUAUGCAGAUAUCAAUGUAAUUGCUGUAUCCAUGCACUUCUGCUGGUGUGAGGAUUAAGGAAAAUGUGGAAUGUCUCUGUCCUCCUAAAUUUUAAUUUCUUAUUUUUUAACACAGCCUAUGUAUAUAUUUUUUACAGCUGUCUUCAUUUCCUUGUCGAAUACAUUUGGUUAUCCUCAUAAGCUUAAAUUUAAUUCACUAAAAAAUUCUAGUGUUCUUUGAGUGACCAAAAUGAAAUAAUUACUCUGAAGAAUUUGCACUUCUUACAGUAAAAAUUUAUUUCUUAUAGUUCCAAUCUUACAAGUUUUUGCACGAUUUCUUUGUUUCAGGAAAAAAUAUUUUCGUCUAGUGUUUGAUUGUGACACACGGUGUGAUAUCACAAGUUAUUGUUGAUGUGACAAAACCUGAUGUUAUUGUUUUCUGUUGCUCACCACUUGGGUGAGUUUGACAAUUAACUGUGUUUCUUUGUUCAAUUGUUUGUUCAUUUUAUGUCCAUUUUUCCAUGCUUGCUUGGAUUGGAUGAAUGUGUUUUGAAGUAUUGUUUUUACAGCUGGAUUUCUUUUCCACCACUAACUCUUAUCUGCUUUUUAAGUAAGGAAUCUCUUAUUUAACAUAGUUUUGAAGGCACAAAGUGCCCUAUGAUUUGUUAGUAGAGGAAACUGACAACCACAUCGCUCAUUGUACCAUAUAGGUGAUCACAGAUUAUAAAGUAAAACAUACACACACACACACGUGUUUCAUUGAUGGUCAUCUUUCAGUUUCUGUUUAUUAAAUCGACUCACAAGACUUUGGUCAUCCUGGGGCUAUUGUGGAAAACACUUGCCGAAGGUACUGCUCAUUGAGACUGAACCUAGAAACAUGUGGUUGGGAAGUAAACUUCUCUAUCAUACAGCUAUUCCUAUAAAUCUAUUUUAAUGUUAUUGAAUAUCACUAUCCUCAGAGUGGCACAGAGAUAAGUAAUUAAAUAUUUAACCACUUUGCAAUUUAAAUAUCUCGUGCUUUUGUUUUAGAUACAAAAUAUGUGGCUGUUGGUCUGCUGAAAUUUGUUUUUUGAUCUAUCUAAUAUUCCUUUAUAAAUGACAACAUUCCAUUUUUGUGUUCUGUCCUUAAAUGUAGCAUAAACAUGUGGCUGUUAAUAGUUGUUGAAGCUUUAGUUAUAUUUAAUAGGUCAAGUCAUGUAGAAAUUUCCUUGCCAGCUCAAUUUUUCCCUCAAUGCAGAAGAGGCUGGUAUUUUAUAUAAACAUUUAGUGUUUGAGUUGUUCAGCCCCAGGUCAACCCUAAAUGAACCCUAAACGUUAUGCGUUUCCUUUAAGGGAAAUACAAGGACUGCUUUAUCCAAUUUGCCCUUCCAUUUUUAAAGACAGUAGGUGUUGAGGUGUGUGAGGGGGCAGGGGUGGGUCAGAAGUGACUACUAUUUCUAACAAAUCAAGUGACUACAUCAAUACUACCUCAUCAGCUCAUAUCUGUUAAGUAGUUGGAGUGAUGCUCUUUAUUAACACACAGUUUGAAAGUAUAUUAAAACAUUUCCCUUUUUCAAAUAUUUCAUAUCUUGUUGAACUAAGGAUGUUUCUAUCAUAUAAGAUUGCCAAAGUUUGAUUCCCAGUGUUACCUAUCCUUUGAUUUCAUAGUUAUUCUUGCUCGUUUCUUUGGUUUGCAAAUUAUCCUUUUCCCAGAAGGCAAAUUUCUGUUGCGUUGGUUAAAAAAAAGAAAAAAAGUAUUAUUUCUUUUUACUGUAUUUCCUUCUAGCUGUCACUCAGUCGAGUCAAUUAGAUUGAAAUUGGUAGAGUUACGUCCCUUGCCCUGAGAUGCAGCAUUGACUUCGGUAAUAUUUCAGCUCCUUAAAAUCAAAAAUGUAUAAAUUUGUUACUACUAUAAUAUUUUUGAAUAACUUCUGCUAUAAUAUUCGUGAUAGUGUUUGUCAUUUAGUAACUUGUAGAGUGUAAAUACCAUUUUUUGUUUGUUUUUCACAUUUAAUAAAUUUUAGCUUUCAGAAAUGUUUUCACAAGAAGCUGGAGAAUAUAUUUUUGGUACAUAUUUCAAAAUUUUAAAUGAGUUUUGAAUGAUUGGUUUUGGAAAUAAGUAAUUCUUAAUUAUAUUUCCAUAUUUAUUUGUUAAAUAUAUUAAUGAUUAUGUUAUUCUAUGUGUCUCAUUUAAACCUUAUUGUUAAGAUUGGCAAACCACUUUUGUGAGAACAUUCUUAUAUUUUGUGCCUUUUUGAAGAGGCUAAUAAGAAUCUUUUCUGCAUCAGCCUUCUCUAGAUCCUAUCCCUGCUUCAUGAUCAGGAUCCAUCUUUUUAUCGAUCCCUCCCAUACACAUACAUUGGGAAAUAUAUAUAUGUAAAGGAUAGUAUGAUAUUUUACUUUGAUGGCUCCACUAAACUACUAAAUGAUAUAAGUAAGAGGGAUAUCAUUUAGUAGUACAUGUUAAAAUUAGAAAAAUUUAUGGCUGUGUAGUUUAGAAGUUUGCCUUGCAAUAAUGUAAUACCACAAUGUCAUACCUUGGGCAUGUAUUCUACUAAUGUUUUAGGUUGGCUGAAGCAUUGAGUGACAUUUAAAAGAGUAGAACUGUGCAGUUUGUUAGAUGUGUCCGUGUUUAGCAUGGAAUUGUUAAUUUGUGCCAAACAAAAUUACUUUGGGGUCUUUGAUUCCAUCUUGGUUACUUCCUUUUAUUCUCAGAUUGACUUUGCCAUUCUACCUAUGUGGUUUUUUAAAUAAGUAUCAUACAAAGUACUGGGUUGAUACAAUAAACUAAAACCCUUGAAGGCAAUACCUUGCAUAACUGCAACUGAAUAAUUGAAAUCAGUAACAGAAUAUCUCUGAUACUGAUGUAAUAUUACAUUCUGAGGUGCAAUGCCAUCGCAGUUUUUUCUUGCAGUAGGAAUACAGACUCUAAGAUUUUAUCAAGAUUAUCUUAAUUCCAUUUAUUUGUAGUGUGAUCUUUACAUUUCUUUCAAAGUCUACCCUACAAAUUUAUUGGAAUAUCAAAAGGCAGUGUUCUUUUAAUGAAAACAAAGAUGGUGUCAUUUGUCCUGGUUUUGUGUGAAUAUAUCUAUGUAUAUGCACACUAACAGAAAAAAAUUCCUUCUAAUCUAAUUUGGUUGUGUUCUGGUGUGAUGUGAUUCUGGACAUAAAUGUAACAAAUCACAUUUUUGGUGAUAUUUUACUUGUAUCGGGAGUCUGUCGUCUUUUAUUGCAGAAUAAAUUUCACUUAAUGGUAAUGUUCUUCUUUGUGAUAUUCAACCAAGAAUUUUGGCUAUUAUUUUUGGAAUAAUAUGCAGUAAGAUGAGGUUGAAUGUGUUUGGUAUUCUGUUUCCAUUUUACAUGGAUGGGUGAUUUUGCUUUAUUAAAGGAAAUAUUUUUACAUAAUACCUUUUGCACUCUACCAUGAAGAUGGAAUUGAACCUGUUGUCAGUCAGAAAACUAAUGCAGGGUUAUUUGCAUUUCAUGGGUUGCAAUACAUUAGAUGUAGUAAGGUUUGAACUCAUGACCAUGUAAUCAAUAGUGCUAUUCCUGUCUUUUGUUUACAUGUAUUAUUUUGAAGAAACUGUUUGAAUUGGGAAUCGUUAUGCGUUUCCUCAAGGUACUAGAUGGCUGGAUUGUUGGAGUAUCAGACAGAAUAAUUUGUAGUCUGUCUUAGCUCUUUACAUUUUGAAUUUAAAUCCUGUUGAAGUCAACUUUGCCUUUCUUCCUCUUGUAGUUGAUAAAAUAAAGAACCAGUCAAUGAUAAUGACUAACACCUCGCCCUCAAAUUUCAGGCCUUGUGUUGUGUCUAUGCUAGAAACAGUAAUAUAUUUCCUAGUUAUAAUUACAAGAUUAAAUUAACCAAUCUUAUUACAUUUGCCAUAAUGCUUAUGCCAUUGCUUCACUCUUAAGAUCAGAGACAACAUUUUUGCAUUGGGAAUGCACUUUCUCCUCAUAGCACACCAAUUUGUUUUUUCCAAUGCUAUUUUUCUUUUCUUUUUUUAUUUAAUAUUUGAGCCUUCUUGCUUCUCUCCUGGGAAAGAGAACUAUUGGAUGUCUUCAUGGUUCAUUUAAUUCUUAUUUAAAGAAACCUUACUGUUUUAUGUUUCUAGGUUUCAUAAUUAUAAUCUCAUCAUUUUUAUUAAGGUGUCAAUAAAACUGAGAUAAAUGGUAUAGUUAUAAUGGAUAAAACAUGAUUAGUAUGUUUUAAUGUUAUUAGCUUCUUAAUCUUUGCAUUUUAAUUCGUCUUCAUCCUGCAGUCAUGUGUUAUCUAAUAACUAUGUCUGAGUCUCCUGAUAAUAGAUAAAGCAUGAUUGCUUUAUGUAAAAUAGCAUUCUUUACAGAUUUCUAAAAUCCUAAAGCAUAUGAAAAUAUUUUGAUUGGUGAUAAGCUUUGCAUCAUAUUUGGUUAGUUCUGAAAACAUGUUUGGUCAUCAAGGGAUAGCAAAUGUUUUAUAUUUUCUUUUUUUGUGAUGUUAUAUAUAAACUGAAAGAGUGAAAAUAGUGAACUUGGCUAAUAUAAUUAUUGGCAAUAGUUUUAGUUUUCUUUCAUUUGUGCAGUCAUCAGAAUUAUUUGAUUGAAAUUUUAAUAGAAAACAUCCUCACCAUUUAACAUCCAUACAUGUACAUGUAUAUUUUACAUUUUGUUUCCAUACUGUCAUGGUUGGAAUUAUUUGUCCAUUUCAAGUAUCUAACAUUUUUACUAAAUCUUGCUUCAAUUGAGUUAGUACUUUUAACUAUAUUAUUCUUUUGCCUAAAUUAAGAUGUUAUUUGUUGUAAUUGGAUGACAGCCAACACUGCCUGCAUCACCUGCCUGCCACCCAUAACAGCUUCAGCUUUACAGAUUCCCAAGGGGUCUCUGAUUCUUCCAGUUCUGGAUUUUCUAUGAUAUAACAUUUCCACAUAUAGUGAUAAUUAAGCUAGUGUUUUAAGGUGACCCCUACCUCUCAUACAUUUGUUAAGACACUAUCUCUAGAAGGGUUACCAGCCAAAUCGUAAGAGGCCCUCUUCUCUAUGAGACAGACUGCUGUACACCAACCUAAUAUUUGUUAUUGAACAAAUAUAUUUACUGCUAGCUGCCAUUUCUAUUGUUAAUCAAUCAGUUAUUAUGUGAAAUCUGUUGACUAUUCACAAACUGAUAUAAGCAGUUAUUUUUUAACCCUGCCUCGUGGCAUGGAAGAUGGCUAUAGUAUUAACAUUUCAAUAAAAUGUUUUCAGCCAAAAAUCUUCAGUAAAUUUUAUAUGAUAAAAAAACAAACAAAAAGUAGUGUCUCAUGUCUGUGAAAAAGGCCAAAAUUGGCUGAUGUAUCACAGAGUUAUUUUGUGGUAAGGUUACAAGAGAUGAUGGUGGUCAGUCACCGAAACAUUAGCCAUUUGUUUGCGUGUGUGAAUAACAUAUAUAAUAUGAAAAUAAAACACUUUUGAUAAAAUCUGAAUUGUUCAUUCAGUUGUUCAUUCAGUUGUUUAUAAAUGAAAGCAAGUGUCAUCACGUGGCUUACUGACCUUUGUGAGCUUAAGACACAGCUUUAUUUCAAAUCUUCAUUUCUUGUUGAAUUGUUUUGUUUCCCAUAUACCCCUACUGCUCCUAUUGUUCAAAAUUCACUGUUUCUCCUUGCACAAAGCUAGCAGAAUUUAUCAACCAUAGAUUGAUAUCUCUCAUUAGGGAAUGUCAAGGAAAUGACUUUAUUUGAUGAGAUGGAUAUCUUAGGAUUGAUAUAAAUAAAUGUGCAGUCUUUUCAAUAUUUUUUUGAAAUAAAGGUAAACAAAACAUAAAGACUUGUGCCUACUGAACUUCUUUCUUAUAGCUUCCUACAUAUUCUGUGGAAAAUUAUUUGACUGCAUUUUAACGUUUUUCCAUAACACAUUAAUACACAACAUAUACUCCACAGAAGCUGAAGGCAGGAAAAGCAUGCAUGUACAUCAUUCUCAUAUUCUUCCUUCCCUAUAAAUUUGAAAUUUUGUGCCUAAUCAUAUAAGAUCAAUAUUCAUGUUACAUACUAUUUUAUUUUCUAUUUGUAUGUUGAUAAAGAUACCAUGGUUAACUUUCUCUUUUUUGUCAUUCAACUCUACCAUCAACUUCACUAAAUGCUUUAUACCCACAAUUCCACUCACAAAAACCUUUCACUAAUAACUAGUACUGUUUACUUUUCACUGGUUCCACUUGCUUCCACAGUUGACAAAUUUGUAAAAUCUUAUAGCUGAACACUACUAGACCCAAAUAUCCAGUUGUAUUUAAAUUGUUACCCCAUGUAAUGCUUCCUUUUUGAAAGGAUAUCCUAACUCUGCCAAUAGGGAUUCUUUUCAAAUGGAGUAUGAAUGCAGCUAUAUGCCAUAAUCCCCUAGAAAGACUAUUUUGGUUCCUUUAUUACUCAGUUACUUCUACAUUAUAAUUCAUGUUUUACAGAGGUAAUUAAUAAACAAGUCUGAAUGAUUUAUUUCAUGAGUAAAGUGUUCAGAACCACUGCAUAGCUAUUUUUUUUUUUUUUUUUUUCAUACAUACCACAUCUCAACUACAAUCUCUUUCUCUCUCACACACACACUUUCUUAUCUCUAUCGCUCUCUCUAUCUGUUGGAUGUCUGGAAUGCAGGAAAAUAAAUAAGAUAUUAAACUAAGAUGGUUAACACUCUUAGUGUCAAUAUUUUAAAUUUCACUUUUGAAACUUUAUAUAGAUAUAAGCAAAUAGAUUUCUAAAUUCAUCAUUUUCCUUUUUCUCAAUUUAUCCUGAUGUGACUUGUCAUUAAGUUUCUUUUUUUGUGUGUAUGUAUGUGUGUGUGUGUGUUUUGUUUUUCCUUUUAAUUCUAUAAUCUAUAUUUGUGUUUACUUGCCUGAAAAGCAGAAAAAAAAAAAUUAUUAUUUUACACUUGCAAUUUUAUUUAAUAUUGAGUUAAUUUGAACUAAUUAUUCCUGAAUUUCCUAUAUUUCCUAUAAUUUGAUAUCUGCUUCAAAGACUUUCACAUUCCCUUUUAAUAUAGUAGUGUGUCUGUGAGUAUAUAUUUGUCUGAGCAGAUAGUGAUGUUGGUUCAGCUAUGUACACAUUGUUUGUAAUCACCACUCCAAAAGAAUAACUAUCUUCCAUCAAACAAACAAACAGAAGACCCAAAUAAUACAUGAUUUUGUAUGUUUUACAUAAAACCAUAUACUGUUGGUUUUAUAUAUGUGAGUAGACCUAUUAAAGGUAUUUUAACAGUAACAUUUCCAUCUUUUCAUGUAUUGGGGACUAUAUUUUUGAAUGUAUCUUUAAGAUUGUAGGAUGUGAUUUGAGGGCAAUUUAGUUGCUAUUUCUUGUAAGUCUUGUUUAUCACAUGGUGGCUUCUCCCAAGUUUAUUCUACAGCUGGAGUUUUUUGUUCUUAUACUUACAAUCAGAGGUUGUGAUACAGUUGUCCUGACUGUUUUUUAUCUCUUCACUAUGUGUUUUCAUUUAGUGCUAUAAAAGCAACAAUUAAUUACCAGUUCUAUGAACCUGUGAAGUUCAUAGUAAGAUUAACUCUAUUAUAGAUUAUCAGCCACAUGCAAAAUUUUAUCUUUCCUCGUCCACAGUGGUCCUCGGUUAUUUUGGCUCAAACAUUCCCAUUUGAUUUUGUAAAAUCAAGCCCCUUCCCUGUCCCCUCAACAUCACAUUGCACUUAUACAAGUAUACUACUUUUGGCAUCUUUAUUUUAAGGAAAUAUUUGUUGCUUAUUAAGGUGCCAUAAGAACAAUAAUGGUAAAUUCUAAUUUAUAUAAAUUUUAAUUGGGUUGGAGAAAAUCACAUCUUAAUAUAAAUCUGAAGAAAGACGGUGAGCUGGCAGAAUUAACACACCGGUCUUUAUGUGCUGGAUUCAAAUGCUACUGGAGUUGACUUGACCUUUCAUCCUUUUGAAGUUAUUAAAUAAGCAGUAGUUGAGCACUGGGAUUGAUUUAAUCAACUUAGCUCUUCCCCUGAACUUUCUGGCCUUGUGCCAAAAUUUGAAACCAAUAUAAACCUGAAGUAAUCAGAGUAUAUCUAGAGAAUAUGCUCAACUUGUGGGAGUGUUAAAACUUUAAGCAAGUGGAAAAUAAUAGUGAUACCAUAUGAAGUACUGUUGUGACAGAGGAUGUGGUAGCAAACCCCUUUAUCUGUAAAUAUGGGAAAAUAACUUAUGCAAAACAAUAUUCUUCACAGAAAUGAAAUUGUAAAAUAGCAUUUUGAGAUCAAUUUAGAAAUGAUUAUGAAAAUUGUACAAUGAAUGGCAAAAACAGAAAAGAUGUUUUCCUUCAAAUAUGCAGUUAUGUCUUGAUGUCUGCUAACCAUAAUAGUGUCCCCUUAAGUUCCACAGUCAGUUAUGUUAGUAGAAUUUAUUUUUUUUAUCCAGAAAAACUUCUACAAUUUUAAUGUUAAAAAAACCCCUUGCAAUUUGUUGGUGUUAACAGAACAAAUAACUCUACAGCACUCUUGAUAGGGAGCAUAAUGCCCAUGUACUCAAAGUAAUAACUCAUUAGCCCUCAGAAUAGUUUCAGCAAUUUGCAGAAUAAACUGUUUCUCUUUUUGGAGUGUAUUUCAUAUCAAGAGACAUUUCACCUUUCAUGUAACAGUGUAAUUACUGAUUAGGAUACGUCUGAUUAUCACCAUAAGAUUGAGAAACAAUAGACAGCAUUUCUGAAAAAAUGAUUCACCAAAGCUCUGUGACUUUCCCAACUUCAGUAUGAAUCUAGUUCUCAAAUUUCCCUGAUUUAAAAAUUU